UAGCCGAUUGACAGUGACUGUGAUUGACAGUAAUGACCAUUGACACACUUGUUGUUGUGGAGGUUUGGCAGCGUUGCUGUUUCCCAUUAAAGUUUGGUUUCCAUUUGGCGGAUGAUGGAGCGUCAUAAAUCAGGCAGAGCGACGUAAGAGGAAAGUUGGAAUUUCGUAGCCCCGUUGGGAAAAUUUUGUUAGUUUUCCAUGUUUUAGUAUCCGAGCAGUAUCAUUUUGCUGUGGUAUCGCGGAAUUUCUAUUUUGAUAGAGUGAGGCUCCGCGUAGUUUGCACCAAGAGGCAGGGUCAGAUCGUGUCGAAGAGAGGGAGUGACAAGUUCACUGCCAGUGUCACCUGUCAUUGUCACUGUCUUGUCCAGCCUGUAGCCAUCCCGUUAUCAGAAAGAACAGUCGACAUUUUGUGGUUUUAAGGAAAAUUUAAGUUCAUCUUGCCGGGAAUUCGGUUGAAUGGAAAAAUAUUCCUCCCAAGUUUUGGGGUUUAAUUUGAUGAACGUCUAGUGGGAAGUUGUAGCCGAGAGGAUUUCGGAUUGAACUAAUAUUUUUGGAUUUGGUCGGCUGCUCCCACACCACUUAUGGGAUUUUGACAUUUUCUAACCACAAAACGAGACUCUAGGCCUCGCUCACCACUUUAGUGAUUUUUUUUUGUCCUCUAUUUUAGAGGCCUCCCUCUCCUUUUUCUCAUUCUCUCCUCUAUUCUCUGGUCUCUUCCUGUUCUCUGGUUUCUUCUGGUCAUCCCAACACUGUUGGCAACCGGCUGAAGUGAGCCUCCACACAGCCUGGACUGAGCAUUGUACUGUGGCUCUGCGAUUUUGGAUUGGAACUUACCUGAAAUCGACUUGCCCAUGUGGUCGUUACCCUGGUUGUAGCUGACUGGUUCCAGAGCUGUCGAGUUAAGCUACCUUAGCCAAAUUCACAAGAGAUUAAAGGACACGCAAGUUUUUGCACAUUUUAUUUCAUUUUUUUCUUAUUGAACGGUUUGAUUUAGGGUUGGGGGUUGAUUUAUUAAUUUGAAUUUUAUGGGUUUAUUUUCUUUUAUGUAAAACAAAGACGUUAAGGGGUUCUUGCUAAGUCUAUUAAUAUUAACCUAAGGGUUUUCAUUUGAGUCGAGCAUCGACAUAAUUGAUUUUGACAUUGAGCCUGGAUCGCCUUGUAAGGGAUCGGCUAUUUGCUACAAAUAACAUAUUUAGUCAUAAUGUUGGUUGUUGGUUAAUAGGUUUUAUUGCACCAACAUACCAUUAAUAGGCUUUCAAAUUCGAACCUUACUAUUUAAAAGUUUUAUUUAGAUUAAUGUGACUUGACUAGAGUUUGUAAAAGGUAUUUAGGGCCAGUGAGGUAUUGUGAAUUGGGCUCCAAACAUAUACUUCUUGUAAACAACACGUGAUCACGUUUUGGAUUUUCCUCUUGAACAGUAGUUCAGUGCAGAUUUGUUUUUUACUAAUUCCUCGCCUUAAGCAUACCUCAAGUAACUCUUAAUUCUUUUAUCAAUUUUUUUAUUUAUUUAAAAUUACUACAGUAUUACAUUUUGAAUAUUUAUAUUAUCUAAAUUUAAAUAUCUCAGUGGAAUUUAAUUUUUUUAUAUAUAAAUGGAAGUUACUAUGUAAAUUCUUGGAUGAUUAUAUCAAUCUGGUGGA
This 1640-nucleotide long non-coding RNA is filed under the name Anthonomus grandis grandis. RNAcentral's name for it is "uncharacterized LOC126738861". Lineage: Eukaryota; Metazoa; Arthropoda; Insecta; Coleoptera; Curculionidae. The record is from RNAcentral.